Non-coding RNA from Carica papaya (papaya), 544 nucleotides. NCBI's taxonomy places the organism in Eukaryota, Viridiplantae, Streptophyta, Magnoliopsida, Brassicales, Caricaceae. The record is from RefSeq and is a predicted model, not a curated record.
GGAAGACUUUUUAGCUCGACCGGUCUAUUCUUCUUCUUCACCUAGUGGCCACCUCUAUGCUUCACUGGACUGUUGUCGCCUAGAUCUUGUUCUCUCCCUUUCUGCAUGCUGUUUUCUUAAGUACAAGUAUGGGUGAGGAAAAGGUUCAUAUCGACGUUGUUGUUAUUGGCUUGGAUGAGAAAACUGAAGAUGUUGGUGUGAACCCUGAAAACAGUCAUGCACAUACCAAAGAACAAACAAGUGAUACUGCAAAGGGACAAGAUGUGGAAGAUGGUACGGAUAUUGAUGCUGUUGAUAGAAAUUUGAAUUGUUUGACAGAAGAACGACUAGAGAAAGUUGAGACAGUUGGUAUGAGCACUGAAAGCAGCCAUGAUGUGCUUGCAGAUUCGAGCAUCUUGCAUCAGAAAACUGAGGAAACUGUUUCUAGCUCAAACAGGGAAGAUCAAUCUUCAGCAACCACAAACGAUUGUGAAGGAAGAGAACAAGAUUCUGCAGUUCAUGCAUAUUCCAAAGAACAAACAAGCGACACUGCUAUAGGGGAAAA